UACGUAGGGUGCGAGCGUUAAUCGGAAUUACUGGGCGUAAAGCGUGCGCAGGCGGUUUCUUAAGCAAGAUGUGAAAUCCCCGGGCUUAACCUGGGAACUGCAUUUUGAACUGGGAGACUAGAGUGUGUCAGAGGGGGGUGGAAUUCCACGUGUAGCAGUGAAAUGCGUAGAGAUGUGGAGGAACACCGAUGGCGAAGGCAGCCCCCUGGGAUAACACUGACGCUCAUGCACGAAAGCGUGGGGAGCAAACAGG
Molecule: ribosomal RNA, 253 nt
Filed under: uncultured bacterium
Lineage: Bacteria
Description: partial 16S ribosomal RNA
Rfam family: Bacterial small subunit ribosomal RNA
Source: RNAcentral